GAGAAAUGAGGAGAACAGCUAACAGCCUGAUCCUAGUGAAGACUGUUCUAAUCCAACUCUGAUCUCACACUCUGA
Small nucleolar RNA from Acipenser ruthenus (sterlet), 75 nucleotides. RefSeq annotates it as small nucleolar RNA SNORD19. NCBI's taxonomy places the organism in Eukaryota, Metazoa, Chordata, Actinopteri, Acipenseriformes, Acipenseridae. The record is from RefSeq and is a predicted model, not a curated record. The transcript has a single exon.